RNAcentral lists this long non-coding RNA (393 nucleotides) under Equus caballus (horse). RNAcentral describes it as "lncRNA (ENSECAG00000052656.1)". Lineage: Eukaryota; Metazoa; Chordata; Mammalia; Perissodactyla; Equidae. The record is from RNAcentral.
CAGAAUUCAAAUUUCUGCAGAGUGUGUUUAGAAUAUGUAUAUCUCGAUAUAGACUUUGUGUCAAAGAGAGCUGCUCCAAGCAGAGCACCGUUUGAAGCAGAGUGCUUUAACAAACUUAUUCUGAUGUUGAGGAGGAAAAGGUUCUGAAGAAAAGAAGUAAUUGCUGCAGCCACAAGUCUACAGUUACAAGUGAUUGAAGAUGGUGGCUGGGUCAGAGAAUGCUAAUCAUCCGUGAAGUGGGCUCGCCAUGACUCUGACACCGUGUCUCCUGGUGCACCCUGUGGGCAGAGUUAGCCAUGCCUCUGGCCUGCGCCGACACCCGCAGAGGGAAGAAUGGCUUCCAGAGGGAAAGGUUAAAGAACAGGUCGGCUGGGCAUCCACACUCCCCGUCCC